RNAcentral lists this long non-coding RNA (713 nucleotides) under Aedes aegypti (yellow fever mosquito). Its description in RNAcentral is "lncRNA AAEL020475". The record is from RNAcentral. Lineage: Eukaryota; Metazoa; Arthropoda; Insecta; Diptera; Culicidae.
AGCCCUGGUAUAGGUAUAUGGACUCAGUACAGACGAGUCUGCACAGUCAGUCAUUUAGAGGCCUCCGCCGAUUCCACCUCACAUCUUACGCCCGCUCGCAGCUCAGCGCCGAACAAGUGAAAAUUAAAUUUAUCGCCAAAUUAACCUGCCAGCGUGGAAAAAUACGAAAAAAGUUUACCCACCAGCCACUAAUUAGUUAUUACCGUGUAGGAGCACAAAAAUUUGCAAAUAUCAGCAAACUGUGGCUGCGAUGUUGCACUCUGAAGCGCACGUUUCCGCAAUCAACAUCGACUGAUGGCGUCUAGGCUAGUGGCUGUGGUAUUGUUUUGGAGGCAGUCAGUAGUACUCAGUACUGAGAUGCGGAAGACAACAAUUAAUUGUGGAUAAACAAGUUUUCUAGAGCUUACUCUACUGCAUCCUCCUCCUACACACAUGUUAAUUUGAAACAUAAAACCGGACCGUAAAUCACCACGUGACUGGUGACUUUCUAAGGCUUUCCAAGAGCAGGAGCAAAAAUUUUAGAGAGUAAGCUGAUGGGCAGUGGCUUCCGGUUAGGACCAGCGGGUGGAAAUUACUGGGAUGAAAACCCGUGACCCAUUUAGGUUUUGGAAUUUACCGAAAUAGCGGGCUCUUGGUUGGCUGCAGCAUUGUUAUAUGUAUUUCAAAUAUCAUCCUCUGUAAAUAAUAGUUACAUAUGUGACAAGUAACAACAA